RNAcentral lists this ribosomal RNA (645 nucleotides) under Triticum aestivum (bread wheat). RNAcentral describes it as "partial small subunit ribosomal RNA". The record is from RNAcentral. Lineage: Eukaryota; Viridiplantae; Streptophyta; Magnoliopsida; Poales; Poaceae.
AUGUUCUCGGCCGUCUCCCUCUCCCGCGUCAACAACAUCCCCGCUGCCCUCACCAACGCUCAGAAGGGCACGCAAUCUACCUCGAUGUCCUUUGGUCACAUGCGUUCCCUCUCUGAUGAGCUUGCGGCGGCGGGCAAGCCUAUCGGGGAACCGGAACUGAUCUCCUUCAUUGUUGCCAGCCUCGACAUGGAAUACCAACCACUCAUCUCUGCCCUUGAUGUUCGCGUCGAGCCCAUUACUGUUGACCACCUCUUCUCUCUGGUCGCGAACUUUGAUCAGUGCCUCGAGAUGUAUCAUGGCAAUGGCGCUGGUGGCUUCAAGUCUUCAGCAAACGCUGCCUCCAGGGGCCGCCAGGGAGGCAAUAGGGGUGGCUACCGAUCUCAGAGAGGCGGGGGCAACAGCGGAUCACGCGGCGGUGGUGGCUACCCAGGUGGUGGCGGUGGCUAUCAAGGCGGCGGCGGCCAUCCUGGAGCUGGAGGUGGCGGCUAUGGUGGCGGCUAUCACCAGAACAAUGGUGGUGGUGGCUACCAAGGUAGUGGUGGCGGCGGCUACUAUCACCCCAGCAACAACAACAAUCAGCGACGUCCUUCCUCCAACAACAAUAGGGGACGAAAUUUCCAAGGUUAUGAAGGCUAUGAAGGAAAG